GAUGAACGCUGGCGGCGUGCCUAAUACAUGCAAGUCGAGCGAACGGACGAGAAGCUUGCUUUUCUGAUGUUAGCGGCGGACGGGUGAGUAACACGUGGAUAACCUACCUAUAAGACUGGGAUAACUUCGGGAAACCGGAGCUAAUACCGGAUAAUAUUUUGAACCGCAUGGUUCAAUAGUGAAAGACGGUCUUGCUGUCACUUAUAGAUGGAUCCGCGCUGCAUUAGCUAGUUGGUAAGGUAACGGCUUACCAAGGCAACGAUGCAUAGCCGACCUGAGAGGGUGGUCGGCCACACUGGAAGUGAGACACGGUCCAUACUCCUACGGGAGGCAGCAGUAGGGAACCUUCCGCAAUGGGCGGAAGCCUGACGGAGCAACGCCGCGUGAGAGAUGAAGGUCUUCGGAUCGUAAAACUCGGUUAUUAGGGGAGAACAGAUGUGUAAGUAACUGUGCACGUCUUGACGGUACCUAAUCAGAAAGCCACGGCUAACUACGUG
Molecule: ribosomal RNA, 497 nt
Filed under: uncultured bacterium
Lineage: Bacteria
Description: partial 16S ribosomal RNA
Rfam family: Bacterial small subunit ribosomal RNA
Source: RNAcentral